GACGAACGCUGGCGGCGUGCUUAACACAUGCAAGUCGAGCGGUAAGGCCCUUUCGGGGGUACACGAGCGGCGAACGGGUGAGUAACACGUGGGCGACCUGCCCUUAGCUCUGGGAUAAGCCUGGGAAACUGGGUCUAAUACCGGAUAUGACUCCAUGACGCAUGUUGUGGGGUGGAAAGCCUUGUGCGGCUGGGGGAUGGGGCCCGCGGCCUAUCAGCUUGUUGGUGGGGUGAUGGCCUACCAAGGCGA
RNAcentral lists this ribosomal RNA (249 nucleotides) under uncultured Actinomycetes bacterium. RNAcentral describes it as "uncultured actinobacterium partial 16S ribosomal RNA". It matches the Rfam family "Bacterial small subunit ribosomal RNA", at positions 28 to 276 of the family's 1533-position model. Lineage: Bacteria; Bacillati; Actinomycetota; Actinomycetes. The record is from RNAcentral.